AAGGAUCAUUAUCGUACAAUGGAGGUGCUGGGGCUGUCGCUGACCUUUGAAAAAGGUUGUGCACGCCCGGAGCACUCUCUCAUAUCCAUCUCACCCCUUUGUGCAUUGCCGCGUGGGUCCCCUUUUGGCUUGUUCCGAGGGGGACCUGCGUUUUUACAUAGACACCCUUUGAAUGCAUGUGUAGAAUGUCUUACUUUUUGCGAUCACACGCAAUCAAUACAACUUUCAACAACGGAUCUCUUGGCUCUCGCAUCGAUGAAGAACGCAGCGAAAUGCGAUACGUAAUGUGAAUUGCAGAAUUCAGUGAAUCAUCGAAUCUUUGAACGCACCUUGCGCCCCUUGGUAUUCCGAGGGGCACACCCGUUUGAGUGUCGUGUAUACUCUCAACCUUCUUGGUUUCUUUGACCAGGAAGGCUUGGACUUUGGAGGUUUUUCUUGCUGGCCUCUUUCGAAGCCAGCUCCUCCUAAAUGAAUGGGUGGGGUCCGCUUUGCUGAUCCUCGACGUGAUAAGCAUUUCUUCUACGUCUCAGUGUCAGCUCGGAACCCGCUUUCAACCGUCUUUGGACAAAGACAAUGUUCGAGUUGUGACUCGACCUUACAAACCUUGA
This 608-nucleotide ribosomal RNA is filed under the name Russula brunneola. RNAcentral's name for it is "eukaryotic LSU rRNA". The stretch from base 221 to 374 matches the Rfam family "5.8S ribosomal RNA". Lineage: Eukaryota; Fungi; Basidiomycota; Agaricomycetes; Russulales; Russulaceae. The record is from RNAcentral.